This is a long non-coding RNA of Oreochromis aureus, 1588 nucleotides long. The record is from Ensembl. NCBI's taxonomy places the organism in Eukaryota, Metazoa, Chordata, Actinopteri, Cichliformes, Cichlidae.
GUGAAAUUACUUAUGACUAUGGUGGGAAAGAAUGGCCCUGGCGGAAAAAGCUAAAGAUCGCAAGCAUCCCUUCUGGUCAACAGUGUGUUGCAGAGCCUAUUGCCCAUGACGUGGAGCACCAUGUGAUCUCUACAGACUCAUUCACAGACAGAGAAUUAAGAGCAGAGUGUCAGUCAUCUAGACCUACAGCAGACAACUCUGAGCAUGAGGUGCAUUCUGUUGGAGGUCAGCGUGGCACUUCUUCUCUGAAAGAGUUAAUUGGUGAAGUUGGUGUCCAGUAUCAGGAGUUGUCACCCCAAGCAUUCUCAGAAGAACUUACCAGUGAAAGCAAAUCGAAAGAGGUGCCACAAUCAUCCAGAGCUGUGCCUAAUGACUCUGCUUGUGAGCUAAAGAUCGCAAGCAUCCCUUCUGGUCAACAGUGUGUUGCAGAGCCUAUUGCCCAUGACGUGGAGCACCAUGUGAUCUCUACAGACUCAUUCACAGACAGAGAAUUAAGAGCAGAGUGUCAGUCAUCUAGACCUACAGCAGACAACUCUGAGCAUGAGGUGCAUUCUGUUGGAGGUCAGCGUGGCACUUCUUCUCUGAAAGAGUUAAUUGGUGAAGUUGGUGUCCAGUAUCAGGAGUUGUCACCCCAAGCGUUCUCAGAAGAACUUACCAGUGAGAGCAAAUCGAAAGAGGUGCCACAAUCAUCCAGAGCUGUGCCUAAUGACUCUGCUUGUGAGUGUACAAUUCAUAGGCUGGUAUUUGAAUCGGUGAAACUUGACAAAUGCGGGAUAUGCCAUUCACCUUUGACAGCUAUCAGAUGGCACGGUCUAAGAUGCAAGCAAUGCCGUUGUGUGUGGCAUAAGAUCUGCCUCCAGACAUCUUCAGAAGACUGGGAUAUGUCCGACGUGAAGAGCCCGAGGCUGGUGACAGUCCAGUUCUACUCCAAGUACAUCCUUACGGUGGCUCACAGGACAAGGCUACAUUCCUGUCCUGCCAGAAGAGAAGAGAAACUUCAGAGUCUUCAUGCAGUUCAACCACACCUGUCAUAUUCCGUAUGACAGGGGUCUCAAACUCCAGUCCUCGAGGGCCGGUGUCAUGCAACUUUUCCAUGUGUCCCUGGUGCAACACACCUGAAUACAAUUAGUAGGUUAUUAGCAAGAGUAUAGAACUUGACUGCAUGCUGAGGUGGCAACCCCUAACCCUACCUACCUACUCAAGUAAAUGUAUUUGGAAACAUGUACUUCUAAAAUACUUUUAUUGCACCAUGUUCAUUCACUCAUGAGCUGCUGUAACGUGAAUCAAAUGGCUGAAUUGCCAACUCAGCAUGCAUUCAAGUUCUAUACUCUUGCUAAUGAUCUACUAGGUGUGUUGCAAAAGUUGCAGGACAGCGGCCCUCGAGGACUGGAGUUUGAGACCCCUGCCGUAUGGUGUUCAUGCAGUUUUCUACCCCACAGUUACAGCAUGUCUGAUUGCCUGUUCAGCAUAUGCAAAAAUAUAUGAUGAGUUUAAGCAUGUGAUGACAAAGGCCUUCCAUUAUGGUGUUUGUCAUCACGUCACAGACAUCUGGAUGAUCAUUUGGAAUAAACAAAAAACUAAAAACUUG